UGGCACAGUGGUUAAGUGCUCAGCUGCUAACUGAAAGGUUGGAGGUUCAAACCCUCC
This 57-nucleotide transfer RNA is filed under the name Loxodonta africana (African savanna elephant). It matches the Rfam family "tRNA", at positions 8 to 63 of the family's 71-position model. Rfam says of the family: Transfer RNA (tRNA) molecules are approximately 80 nucleotides in length. The record is from Rfam by way of RNAcentral. Lineage: Eukaryota; Metazoa; Chordata; Mammalia; Proboscidea; Elephantidae.